UUCCAGACUCCUACGGGAGGCAGCAGUGGGGAAUAUUGCACAAUGGGGGAAACCCUGAUGCAGCGACGCCGCGUGAGCGAUGAAGUAUUUCGGUAUGUAAAGCUCUAUCAGCAGGGAAGAAGAUGACGGUACCUGACUAAGAAGCCCCGGCUAACUACGUGCCAGCAGCCGCGGUAAUACGUAGGGGGCAAGCGUUAUCCGGAUUUACUGGGUGUAAAGGGGGCGCAGACGGCGAUGCAAGCCAGGAGUGAAAGCCCGGGGCCCAACCCCGGGACUGCUCUUGGAACUGCGUGGCUGGAGUGCAGGAGGGGCAGGCGGAAUUCCUGGUGUAGCGGUGAAAUGCGUAGAUAUCAGGAGGAACACCGGUGGCGAAGGCGGCCUGCUGGACUGCAACUGACGUUGAGGCCCGAAAGCGUGGGGAGCAAACAGGAUUAGAUACCCGCGUA
Molecule: ribosomal RNA, 446 nt
Filed under: uncultured bacterium
Lineage: Bacteria
Description: bacterial SSU rRNA
Rfam family: Bacterial small subunit ribosomal RNA
Source: RNAcentral